Molecule: transfer RNA, 68 nt
Filed under: Plasmodium knowlesi
Lineage: Eukaryota; Apicomplexa; Aconoidasida; Haemosporida; Plasmodiidae
Description: tRNA-Ser
Rfam family: tRNA
About the family: Transfer RNA (tRNA) molecules are approximately 80 nucleotides in length. Their secondary structure includes four short double-helical elements and three loops (D, anti-codon, and T loops).
Source: RNAcentral
UAUUGUAUUUGAUUUGAGAUCAAAAAAAUAUAAUAUAUAUUUCAUGGGUUCGAAUCCCAUUUUCUCUU